GUCCACGCCGUAAACGAUGGGCACUAGGUGUGGGAGGUGUCGACUCCUCCCGUGCCGGAGCUAACGCAUUAAGUGCCCCGCCUGGGGAGUACGGCCGCAAGGCUAAAACUCAAAGGAAUUGACGGGGCCCGCACAAGCAGCGGAGCAUGUGGUUUAAUUCGACGCAACGCGAAGAACCUUACCUGGGUUUGACAUGUUCCUGACCGCCCUGGAAACAGGGUUUCCCUAGGGGCAGGAUCACAGGUGGUGCAUGGCUGUCGU
RNAcentral lists this ribosomal RNA (261 nucleotides) under uncultured bacterium. RNAcentral describes it as "partial 16S ribosomal RNA". It matches the Rfam family "Bacterial small subunit ribosomal RNA", at positions 793 to 1055 of the family's 1533-position model. The record is from RNAcentral.